CGACGACAGCCGGGGUGCCCCGAGGUCGGGGCUGAGAACACACCCGCAACACCUGAUCUAGGUCGUGCUAGCGAAGGGAGCCACCUCCAUGACCGU
RNAcentral lists this non-coding RNA (96 nucleotides) under Tessaracoccus lapidicaptus. RNAcentral describes it as "TPP sequence". It matches the Rfam family "TPP riboswitch aptamer (THI element)". From Rfam's summary of the family: Vitamin B(1) in its active form thiamin pyrophosphate (TPP) is an essential coenzyme that is synthesised by coupling of pyrimidine and thiazole moieties in bacteria. The previously detected thiamin-regulatory element, thi box was extended, resulting in a new, highly conserved RNA secondary structure, the THI element, which is widely distributed in eubacteria and also occurs in some archaea. Lineage: Bacteria; Bacillati; Actinomycetota; Actinomycetes; Propionibacteriales; Propionibacteriaceae. The record is from Rfam by way of RNAcentral.